UACGGGGGGGGCAAGCGUUGCUCGGGAAUCAACUGGGCGUAAAGGGUGGCGUAGGCGGGUCUUUAAAGUCAGGGGUGAAAUCCUGGAGCUCAACUCCAGAACUGCCCUUGAUACUGAGAGCUUGAGUCCGGGAGAGGUGAGUGGUAACUGCGAGUGUAGGAGGUGAAAUUCGUAGAUAUUCGCAAGAACACCAGUGGCGGAAGGCGGACCG
This 211-nucleotide ribosomal RNA is filed under the name uncultured bacterium. Its description in RNAcentral is "partial 16S ribosomal RNA". It matches the Rfam family "Bacterial small subunit ribosomal RNA", at positions 524 to 728 of the family's 1533-position model. The record is from RNAcentral.